ACGAACGCUGGCGGCGUGCUUAACACAUGCAAGUCGAACGGAAAGGCCCUGCUUGCAGGGUACUCGAGUGGCGAACGGGUGAGUAACACGUGGGUGAUCUGCCCUGCACUUCGGGAUAAGCCUGGGAAACUGGGUCUAAUACCGGAUAGGAGCCAUUUUUAGUGUGAUGGUUGGAAAGUUUUUUCGGUGUAGGAUGAGCUCGCGGCCUAUCAGCUUGUUGGUGGGGUAAUGGCCUACCAAGGCGGCGACGGGUAGCCGGCCUGAGAGGGUGGACGGGCAUAAUGAGACUGAAGUACGGCCCAGACUCCUAAGGGAGGGAGCAGUGGAGAAUAUUGCACAAUGGGCGCAAGCCUGAUGCAGCGACGCCGCGUGGGGGAAGACGGCCUUCGGGUUGUAAACUCCUUUCGCUAGGGACAAAGCAUUUUGUGACGGUACCUAGAGAAGAAGCACCGGCUAACUACGUG
RNAcentral lists this ribosomal RNA (464 nucleotides) under uncultured bacterium. Its description in RNAcentral is "partial 16S ribosomal RNA". It matches the Rfam family "Bacterial small subunit ribosomal RNA", at positions 29 to 507 of the family's 1533-position model. The record is from RNAcentral.